UCCUGGUGGCUCAGUUGGUAAAGAACCUGCCUGUGAUGCAGGAGACCUGGGUUCACUCCCUGGACUAGGAG
RNAcentral lists this transfer RNA (71 nucleotides) under Ovis aries (sheep). It matches the Rfam family "tRNA". From Rfam's summary of the family: Transfer RNA (tRNA) molecules are approximately 80 nucleotides in length. Their secondary structure includes four short double-helical elements and three loops (D, anti-codon, and T loops). Further hydrogen bonds mediate the characteristic L-shaped molecular structure. tRNAs have two regions of fundamental functional importance: the anti-codon, which is responsible for specific mRNA codon recognition, and the 3' end, to which the tRNAs corresponding amino acid is attached (by aminoacyl-tRNA synthetases). tRNAs cope with the degeneracy of the genetic code in two manners: having more than one tRNA (with a specific anti-codon) for a particular amino acid; and 'wobble' base-pairing, i.e. permitting non-standard base-pairing at the 3rd anti-codon position. Lineage: Eukaryota; Metazoa; Chordata; Mammalia; Artiodactyla; Bovidae. The record is from Rfam by way of RNAcentral.